Molecule: long non-coding RNA, 1228 nt
Organism: Tripterygium wilfordii
Lineage: Eukaryota; Viridiplantae; Streptophyta; Magnoliopsida; Celastrales; Celastraceae
Exons: 5
Source: RefSeq, a predicted model, not a curated record
UUCGUCCGAGACACGGCAACAAAACUCUAUCCCGCAUGGUAAAUUUCGGGUACCGGAGUUCUCUCUCACUCUUAUCAUCCUUCCAUUAAUGUGUUAAUAUGUCGUGCGAGGGGAAUAUGUAUAGAUGUGUGAUGAUUCCGAUUUCCUAGUGGACAAGUGCUGUAUUGGAUGUGGCUAUGCCUAUUUGUAUGUGUGGCUUUGUCUAUAGUUGAGUUCAAUAUGUAGUACCGUACAAGUUAAAUUAUUUGAUUGCAGUGAUCUUGGAUUCCUAUAAUUUUCUAGUGGCUCUACUUUACCUGCCUUCUUUCACCUGCUCCUAUCUUCUUUCCAGUGAUCUUGGAUUCCUAUAAUUUUCUAGUGGCUCUAAUUUACUUGCCUCCUUUCACCUGCUGCUAUUUUCUUUUCAGUGAUCUUGGAUUCCUAUAAUUUCCCAGUGGUUCUACUUUACCUGGCUCAUUCCACCUGCUGCUAUCUUCUAUGCAGUGAUCUUGGAUUCCUAUAAUUUUCUAGUGACUUUACUUUACCUAGCUCAUUCCACCUGCUACUAUCUUCUUUGAAGGUGAGUCUACUUCUGAUGUAGGUCCUCUAGAUCCGUAGAAGGGGGUGUGAUAGUGGUGGCCCGGGUUGAUGAUUGACUUAUGUUUUGAGCUUUAGAUUUUUUUUUAUGUGAUUUGGAUAUAUAUUUAUGUAUUAUGAAAUUGUGUCUCUGGAUUGAUGUCAGAUGAUCAGGAGGGUGCUCCAGAUUAUUGGGACUCUUGUGUCGAGUAGUAAGGAGGUGGUUGUGGGCUCUGAGGGUUUUGAUUUAGAUUAUGUUGUAUAUAUGAUAUCUUGAAAUUUUUUUUACGUUUGCAAGGAGGCAUUCUCCAAUUUAUGGGGAGAUGUUGUCCGAUUUUCUGCUUGAUUUAUUCUUGUGUGUGGUGUUGUUGUGUCAUUUUCUCAUUUUUCUCACGCUCCGAGGGUCGGGGCGUGACAUUUCAUCCCUUGCAAGAAGACCUUGGAUGCCUCACAUAUUGCACAACUAUUCUUUCGAGAUGUAGCUCGUUUGCAUGGCCUUCCCAAGACUAUAGUCUCCCAUCGAGAUAGCAAGUUUUUAAGCCAUUUUUGGCGAACCUUGUGGAAGAUUGCUUCUAGUUCAGACCUUGUCAGCAUCGGCACAUCAGCUCCGUUGAAGAUUUGCUCGACUUGAUAAUUUCCUUAAUUUUUAUCCUUGUUAUCUUUAUUAGUCCUU